CCUGGCGGCUGUAGCGCGGUGGUCCCACCUGACCCCAUGCCGAACUCAGAAGUGAAACGCCGUAGCGCCGAUGGUAGUGUGGGGUCUCCCCAUGCGAGAGUAGGGAACUGCCA
Molecule: ribosomal RNA, 113 nt
Filed under: Pantoea ananatis
Lineage: Bacteria; Pseudomonadati; Pseudomonadota; Gammaproteobacteria; Enterobacterales; Erwiniaceae
Also listed under: 1 other name
Source: RNAcentral